Molecule: ribosomal RNA, 469 nt
Filed under: uncultured bacterium
Lineage: Bacteria
Description: bacterial SSU rRNA
Rfam family: Bacterial small subunit ribosomal RNA
Source: RNAcentral
AUGCAAGUCGAGCGGAAACGAAGAGGUGCUUGCACCUCUGGCGUCGAGCGGCGGACGGGUGAGUAAUGCUUGGGAAUAUGCCUUAUGGUGGGGGACAACAGUUGGAAACGACUGCUAAUACCGCAUGAUGUCUACGGACCAAAGUGGGGGACCUUCGGGCCUCACGCCAUAAGAUUAGCCCAAGUGGGAUUGGCUAGUUGGUGAGGUAAUGGCUCACAAGGCGACGAUCCCUAGCUGGUUUGAGAGGAUGAUCAGCCACACUGGGACUGAGACACGGCCCAGACUCCUACGGGAGGCAGCAGUGGGGAAUAUUGCACAAUGGGCGCAAGCCUGAUGCAGCCAUGCCGCGUGUGUGAAGAAGGCCUUCGGGUUGUAAAGCACUUUCAGUAAGGAGGAAAGGUUAAGUGUUAAUAGCACUUAGCUGUGACGUUACUUACAGAAGAAGCACCGGCUAACUCCGUGCCAGCAG